RNAcentral lists this ribosomal RNA (301 nucleotides) under uncultured bacterium. Its description in RNAcentral is "partial 16S ribosomal RNA". It matches the Rfam family "Bacterial small subunit ribosomal RNA", at positions 509 to 807 of the family's 1533-position model. The record is from RNAcentral.
CAGUCGCCGCGGUAAAACGAAGGGGGCUAGCGUUGCUCGGAAUUACUGGGCGUAAAGGGCGCGUAGGCGGCGCUCCAAGUUAGGCGUGAAAUUCCCGGGCUCAACCUGGGGACUGCGCUUAAGACUGGAGUGCUUGAGGAUGGAAGAGGGUUGUGGAAUUCCCAGUGUAGAGGUGAAAUUCGUAGAUAUUGGGAAGAACACCGGUGGCGAAGGCGGCAACCUGGUCCAUUACUGACGCUGAGGCGCGAUAGCGUGGGGAGCAAACAGGAUUAGAGACCCCAGUAGUCCCUGUCUCUUAUAC